This 189-nucleotide ribosomal RNA is filed under the name uncultured Staphylococcus sp. RNAcentral describes it as "partial 16S ribosomal RNA". It matches the Rfam family "Bacterial small subunit ribosomal RNA", at positions 151 to 334 of the family's 1533-position model. Lineage: Bacteria; Bacillati; Bacillota; Bacilli; Caryophanales; Staphylococcaceae. The record is from RNAcentral.
GGGAAACCGGAGCUAAUACCGGAUAAUAUAUUGAACCGCAUGGUUCAAUAGUGAAAGACGGUUUUGCUGUCACUUAUAGAUGGAUCCGCGCCGCAUUAGCUAGUUGGUAAGGUAACGGCUUACCAAGGCAACGAUGCGUAGCCGACCUGAGAGGGUGAUCGGCCACACUGGAACUGAGACACGAUCCAG